GGGGAAUUUUGGACAAUGGGCGCAAGCCUGAUCCAGCCAUGCCGCGUGUCUGAAGAAGGCCUUCGGGUCGUAAAGGACUUUUGUCAGGGAAGAAAAGGCUGUUGCUAAUACCGACAGUUGAUGACGGUACCUGAAGAAUAAGCACCGGCUAACUACGUGCCAGCAGCCGCGGUAAUACGUAGGGUGCGAGCGUUAAUCGGAAUUACUGGGCGUAAAGCGAGCGCAGACGGUUACUUAAGCAGGAUGUGAAAUCCCCGGGCUCAACCUGGGAACUGCGUUCUGAACUGGGUGACUAGAGUGUGUCAGAGGGAGGUAGAAUUCCACGUGUAGCAGUGAAAUGCGUAGAGAUGUGGAGGAAUACCGAUGGCGAAGGCAGCCUCCUGGGAUAACACUGACGUUCAUGCUCGAAAGCGUGGGUAGCAAACAGGAUUAGAUACCCUGGUAGUCCACGCCCUAAACGAUGUCAAUUAGCUGUUGGGCAACUUGAUUGCUUAGUAGCGUAGCUAACGCGUGAAAUUGACCGCCUGGGGAGUACGGUCGCAAGAUUA
Molecule: ribosomal RNA, 548 nt
Filed under: uncultured bacterium
Lineage: Bacteria
Description: bacterial SSU rRNA
Rfam family: Bacterial small subunit ribosomal RNA
Source: RNAcentral